AGGGACUGAUUUAGACCUGGGACACCAGGUGGGUGAUUCCCCUCUAAUCAGGGACUGAUUUAGACCUGGGACACCAGGUGGGUGAAUCCCCCUCUAAUCAGGGACUGAUUUAGACCUGGGACACCAGGUGGGUGAUUCCCCUCUAAUCAGGGACUGAUUUAGACCUGGGACACCAGGUGGGUGAAUCCCCCUCUAAUCAGGGACUGAUUUAGACCUGGGACACCAGGUGGGUGAUUCCCCUCUAAUCAGGGACUGAUUUAGACCUGGGACACCAGGUGGGUGAAUCCCCCUCUAAUCAGGGACUGAUUUAGACCUGGGACACCAGGUGGGUGAAUCCCCCUCUAAUCAGGGACUGAUUUAGACCUGGGACACCAGGUGGGUGAUUCCCCUCUAAUCAGGGACUGAUUUAGACCUGGGACACCAGGUGGGUGAAUCCCCCUCUAAUCAGGGACUGAUUUAGACCUGGGACACCAGGUGGGUGAAU
Molecule: long non-coding RNA, 484 nt
Organism: Oncorhynchus keta (chum salmon)
Lineage: Eukaryota; Metazoa; Chordata; Actinopteri; Salmoniformes; Salmonidae
Exons: 4
Source: RefSeq, a predicted model, not a curated record